CACCCCUACCUCUCUCUGCUGACUCUCUUCUGGGACUCAGCCCACUUGCACCCACGUGAAUAAACAGCCUUGUUGCUCACACAAAGCCUGUUGGUGUCUCUUCACACAGAGGCACGUGACACAAAGUGCUGGGUUUACAGGCGUGAGCCGCCACGCCCAGCCCUCUUUGCUGUUUCGUGUGAAAUUUAGAACCAGUUUUUCCAAUUUCAUAAACAUAUCUGAGGAACGGCACUGGAUUAUACUCAUUUCAGAAAAACGUUAUCUUGGGGUCCCACCUACACGCAGGGAGUGGGAGACAGUCACGCGGCGUGUGCGGCACAGAACACAGAGACCAGGCACCGGCCGGCCGCCCUGCCGAGCGAGGCUUCGUCCCGGAGACUCAGCGUGUGGCCUCCGCGUCACAGAAACGGUCUUCGUAGCUGUUUGAGGUCACACCAACGAGACUUCACUUGUGUUAGCAGAACUCUGCGGACAAUGUGACCCUGCAUGACAGCCGGGAGCCAGAUGUGGGGAGAGCGGCGAGCUGGCAGCCCGGACAGAAAGGCGGACGGAGCUGUGGCCAUGACCAGGAGCAGCAGCAGCUCCUGGGAUGAGAGGGAGCCCCCGUUCCCGGACCAAACUGAGGGUCGGGCCCCAUAACGAGGCGCAGUUGAACUGGGGAGGAACCCCAACCGGUCACAGGCAGAAGGCCUGGACAUUAUCUCCAGAGCAACUCAGAAUGACAAAGUCCUCCAGAGCUUAUCUACCCUUUAAGCUCUAUGUCCACGUGUAAGAGUGUCAUCUAAAGACCUACAUGAAGUUUGACGGAUCCACAGGAGCACAGUAAGGAAGAGCCUCCUGGGGCUGAGGAAGAAUCGAGACUCUCACCACCUGUGAUGUGGAUGGCUCCAUCUCUGAAAGCAAAGCAUUGAAGGCAGCAGGAAGAGAAAGACAGGAUUCCUGGACGAAAGCAUCUCAGCGGCUGCAGGGCAGCUCCUCCCGUUCCAGCCACAGGCUCAGCGGCCACGAGCAGCUGGAACUCACAGGUGAACCUACGCCCUGUCCAACAGAAACCAGAUGGGUGGGCUUGGACCCCCCAGAGCACACAAGUUCCCACAUGGACCACCAAAAUUGUAACCAAACACAAGUUCCGUUCCUCACCACUUGCAGAGUCCAGUGAUCAAGAGGGAGGCCUGGUGGAAAGAAAGUGACUUUAUUAACCAAAACUAGUCAUGGGCAAGGGGCCGCACUCCCGUCCAAAACAACCACUUCAAAUUCCUAGGGAGAAGGCAGUGACUUGUAAAGGGCAAGCUGGCGUGGGAGGCAGGUGCUGUGCUGGGUACAAGGUCUGUGUGUCUGUCCGCAGUGGCCAUCUUGGGUCCCAGUCCACCUGGAGCGUGGGCUGGGGUCAUCUGAUUAAUGACUGGGUGGCUGACUCGCUGCCUGGGGGAAACCUCUGGAAUUUUGCCACUGAGUUUCCAGGGUUGGUCUGUCUGUCUCAAGAUUAGGCCCUGGAACUUUUUUGAGACAGAGUCUCGCCCUGUUGCACAGGCUGGAGUGCAGUGGAACAGUCACAGCUCACUGCAGCCUCCUGGGUUGAAGUGAUUCUCCCACCUCAGUCUUCCGAGUAGCU
Long non-coding RNA from Piliocolobus tephrosceles (Ugandan red Colobus), 1612 nucleotides. RefSeq lists it as uncharacterized. Lineage: Eukaryota; Metazoa; Chordata; Mammalia; Primates; Cercopithecidae. The record is from RefSeq and is a predicted model, not a curated record. The transcript is spliced from 3 exons.